Oncorhynchus gorbuscha (pink salmon) is the source of this 878-nucleotide long non-coding RNA. RefSeq lists it as uncharacterized. Lineage: Eukaryota; Metazoa; Chordata; Actinopteri; Salmoniformes; Salmonidae. The transcript is spliced from 2 exons. The record is from RefSeq and is a predicted model, not a curated record.
AGAGGGGUCAGCCACCAUCCUGUUCCCUAGGUAACACUAGGGCUGACCUCUUAGUGUGUGUCUGUUGAGAUAACACCUAAAACAUAGUGGCUAAAGUAGUGCACUAUAAUAGGGAACAGGGAGCUGUUCGGGAGUGGGCUCACCUCUUAGUGUGUGUCUGUUGAGAUGCCAUGAUAAUGAUGAUAUGUAUGUAACAUGGUUUGUAAUAAGAUGUACAGUUUAAAGACCAUUUAUGAACAGAGCUGACUGACUGGCUGGUUUACUGCCUGUUACACAGAGGAACCGUGGACUCUAUAACAUGUCCUAUUGGUACACUGUUCCCUGUGCUGUGCACUUUGCUAGACCGGGGGGGGGGUAGCCCAAUGGGUCCUGGUCAAACCUAGUUCACUACAGGAAGCCAUUUUUGGUUGCAUGUGAGUGUGGGGGGGGUUUGUUCAGUGAAGCCCUGUUGUAAACCUGCUGUUCGACCAGGGGGUUUGUUCAGUGAAGCCCUGUUGUAAGCCUGCUGUUCGACCAGGGGGUUUGUUCAGUGAAGCCCUGUUGUAAGCCUGCUGUUCGACCAGGGGGUUUGUUCAGUGAAGCCCUGUUGUAAACCUGCUGUUCGACCAGGGGUUUGUUCAGUGAAGCCCUGUUGUAAACCUGCUGUUCGACCAGGGGGUUUGUUCAGUGAAGCCCUGUUGUAAACCUGCUGUUCGACCAGGGGGGUUUGUUCAGUGAAGCCCUGUUGUAUAAACCUGCUGUUUGACUGACAGGGUCUAUGUAUAAAGAACUGUGGACUGAUACAUAAUAGUAAUGAUCUGUUUAGGUUUUAGUUUAAACUGUAAAAAAAUGAACUGUUCCACAAAAAUGCUUCCGUUUUAAAAUAAUAUCUUCCUAAA